AAAAAGAGAAUUGUGGAAUUAUAGCUUGAUAAUCUUCUCAAGCCAUGUAUUGUAUAUUUAUAUACAAUUACAGGAUCCUAUAAAGGAAGAUCUACAUAAUCAAGGAAUCCCUUGAUUAUAGGGAUUGAGUUAAUCCCCUAGUUUACAGAUAUACACAAUCCUAUUUUAACAAACUUAUUCAUGUGUCUACCAUUUCUUUUUGUACUAUAUUUAUUGAAUUUGGGUGAAAAGGUUAACAACUGAGAUUGUAAAGCAUUCCUUUUCAGUUUCUAGUUUGUGUUCUCCAGAAAUGCUGAAUCACAAACACCUAUAUGUGCAAAGCACACAUGUUGCUUCCUGCAGCUACAAUUGUCUUGCUCUGUAUCUACUGACAACUUUACAUGAAAAUAUUAAUAACUGGUUUCUAGAACAUUCAUUUUUUACUUUGUGAUUUUUGUUCUAUUUAUUUUUUAUGGAUGGGGAUGUGUG
Molecule: unclassified non-coding RNA, 468 nt
Filed under: Hevea brasiliensis (rubber tree)
Lineage: Eukaryota; Viridiplantae; Streptophyta; Magnoliopsida; Malpighiales; Euphorbiaceae
Source: RNAcentral